UUCCUGAUGGCUCAGCAGUAAAGAACCUGCCUGCAGUGCAGGAGAUUCAGGUUCAAACCCUUGUCUGGAUG
RNAcentral lists this transfer RNA (71 nucleotides) under Ovis aries (sheep). It matches the Rfam family "tRNA". From Rfam's summary of the family: Transfer RNA (tRNA) molecules are approximately 80 nucleotides in length. Lineage: Eukaryota; Metazoa; Chordata; Mammalia; Artiodactyla; Bovidae. The record is from Rfam by way of RNAcentral.